GACGGGACCCGCACAAGCAGCGGAGCGUGUGGUUUAAUUCGAUGCAACGCGAAGAACCUUACCUGGGCUUGAACCGCACCUGUAAACCUGUGGAAACACGGGUCCCUCCUUCGGGAGCAGGUGUAGAGGUGCUGCAUGGCUGUCAUCAGCUCGUGUCGUGAGAUGUUGGGUUAAGUCCCGCAACGAGCGCAACCCCUGCCCUUAGUUGCCAUCGGGUCACGCCGGGAACUCUAAGGGGACCGCCCCGGACAACGGGGAGGAAGGUGGGAUGACGUCAAGUCAGCAUGGCCUUUAUGUCCAGGGCUACACACGUGCUACAAUGGUUGGUACAAAGGGUUGCCAAGCCGUGAGGCGGAGCCAAUCUCAAAAAGCCAACCUCAGUUCGGAUUGCAGUCUGCAACUCGACUGCAUGAAGUUGGAAUCGCUAGUAAUCGCUGAUCAGCAGGCAGCGGUGAAUACGUUCCCGGGCCUU
RNAcentral lists this ribosomal RNA (472 nucleotides) under uncultured Holophagae bacterium. RNAcentral's name for it is "bacterial SSU rRNA". It matches the Rfam family "Bacterial small subunit ribosomal RNA", at positions 916 to 1381 of the family's 1533-position model. Lineage: Bacteria; Pseudomonadati; Acidobacteriota; Holophagae. The record is from RNAcentral.